This 261-nucleotide ribosomal RNA is filed under the name Pelobates cultripes (western spadefoot toad). RNAcentral's name for it is "SSU_rRNA_microsporidia". It matches the Rfam family "Eukaryotic small subunit ribosomal RNA", at positions 198 to 472 of the family's 1831-position model. Lineage: Eukaryota; Metazoa; Chordata; Amphibia; Anura; Pelobatidae. The record is from RNAcentral.
CGUGAGCUUGUCCAUGUUGGCCGUGGACAGGCGGCUGCGCUUGUCUGUGAUAACCUCAUGCUGAUCGCACGUCCCUGUGAUGGCAAAAACGCAUUCGGAUGUCUGCCCUAUCAAUGCUAUUUUCUGCGCCUACCAUGGUGACCACGGGUAAUGGGGAAUCAGGGUUCGAUUCCAGAGAGGGAGCCUGAGAAACGGCUACUACAUGCAAGGAAGGCAGCAGGUGCGCAAAUUACCCACUCCCGACGCGGGGAGGUAGUGACG